GCGCAGCGAGGUAAGCGAUGGCAAGGGAGGAGUUGGAGGCGUUGUAGGUAUAGUGGAGGUAGGCGCCGAGGUAUGGGAGGUCGAUGCAGUUGGCAUAGACCUUGUUGGUGAACUUUUGGGACGUGCAGGUGAGGCAGAUAGCCGGCGAGAGGAAGAGAGAAAGGAGCGAGAGGGAGAGGAGGAGAGAGAGAUUUGUCAUUGUAUUACGCAGAGAGUUUCGAGAGAGAGAGAGAGAGAGGCUGAAUGAUGUAGCUAUGUAAUUCAUCUAACCAUUCACAUCUAUAUAUAUGCUCUUUUCCUCGCACAAGACAUGCUUAGAGUUCGCAUUGCUUUGAUGAAGAGAAAGCUCACUUUUAAUUACAUCAACAUUUGUUAAAUAUUCCAUUAAUGUCAUGGAUCGAGUAAGACGUUGAAUAUUUUGCCUAACUAUGGCUCUGUAUAUUUCAUGAAAACUAAAAAUAAAAAUUGAAAAAUAUACAUUUUUCAAAUGAUUGUUAUAUUGUUUAAAAUAAUUAGUUGAUAAAAAAUAAUUUAUUAUUGAUAAUAAUUUAUGUCUAAAUAUUUUCAUAAGUGAUAAAAUAAUAUAUAUUUUAUUUUUAUAAACAAUACAAGCAAUUAACAUUGAAAAUAUCUUCCAAAUCAAUUAUUUUUUGCCAUGCAAAGGGAGCCUAUAUGUCAUGUUUAGUUGUGGUCCAUUCAUGUCCCGUCUACCAUGGUAACAAGCCGUCUACCAAAUCCGCAUAUAAAUGCCUUAGCUGAAACAAGGCUACAAGUGAGUUAUGUCUUUGAUAUAAUUUUCCAAAUAAAAAAAGUUAGAUCUCACUUGACAUAUUUUCAUUCAUCUUAGGCAAUCUAUAAUGACAACCGACACUGACGCAGGGCCAAUAUAACAUGAAAAUGAGCUUUUUCUAGAUAAAGUGAUUCGGAUGGGCCAGAGCCGGCUGGCAAAAUUAUGUACUUUCGCCAAAUGUGGAGAAGUAGAAAGACAGGAUAGAAAAAAUCCGAAGUGAAUUUUAUCAUUUAGGGCUUGUUUGGUAAAAACAUCAACUUUUCUUAUUUUCUUUACAAAAGCAAAUUCCAACGUAAGUUCUUCACAGUUUGCUUCUGUUGACCCCAAAUUAGUUUGAUUGAUCCUAAAAUCACCUCUAGUUGCGUUGAAGUAUAUUAUUGUUAUUAUUUGUUUCGAGUGUUUUUGAAGCGGCUAUAGAUUCGCCCAUUUUUCCUCGAGCUACAAGGGCUGGGUGAGCGAACAUGGGGUAUGGGAGCCCGGAUGCUUGCACGGAGAGACCAAUCCAUUUCGGCCGAUGUUCGGGCAGCUGGAUAAUCGUGUGGAUGCCCAAAAGGUAUAAUAGUAAAAUAUGAGCGGUUUAAACGGGUAAUUAAGCUUGAGCGGUACAGAUAGGACACUCUCUUGCUAGAAAUUAAGACCCACAAACACAUCCAAGCUAUCGCCCCCGAUGAUGCGUUUGAUAAUAUUUUUGUUUCGAAGAAUAAUGUAUUUUCAAAAAUAAUGUUUUUUUUUUGUGAGAGGUAAUUAUAAUAAGCUUUAACCAAUAAUUACAAACAAAUGGCACUAAAACAUACACUCAUAAUGAACAAAGGCAUAAUGAGUGGAAGGGUGCCGAAAAGAAAAAAGAAGGCCAACAAGGCAAAAGCUACACGGCACAGUUAGCACAACGGCAGCCACAUCCACAAGAAGGACCAAAAACAAAAGAAGACGACUAGCCAGUCAAACAAUGGCAACCCAAGCCCAAAAGCCCCACACAAAACGGCAGAUCGGAUCCCCUUGGCGAAGGCCAACGCCACUAAGGAAGAACCCAUGAAGUUCUCCAUUCAAAGAAAUCGAAAACUUAGGAGUGUGAACACAUACCAUAAUGAUCCGAACAAAAUGAUCCGGGAAGUCAAAAGCACGAAGAACCAGCUUAAGAAAGUCCAAGUCCACCGUAUCAUAAGCUUUAUGAAAGUCCACCUUGAUCGUACACUUAGGCUUGUAUGGAUCAAGGUGGAAACCAGCAAAUAACUUCUGGGCAAAAAGAAUGUUAUCUAUAAUUCGCCUACCUUUGACGAAAACAUUUUGAUAAGGGCUGAUAACAUCAGUAAGGACUGCAAUAAUUCGGUUAGCUAAAACCUUAGUAAUGCAUUUGUAGAUAGUAUUACAACAGGCAAUAGGCCUGUAAUCAUUGACAUACAUAGCAUUAGGAACUUUCGGGAUCAACACUAAGAUGGUAUUAUUGAUCUCCUUGAGAAGUCUUCCCGUGGUAAGGAAGUCCUUGACCGCUUCAAUGACCAACGGCCCUACCAUCUCCCAAUUAUGCUUGAAGAACUCGACACCAAAACCAUCUAGCCCUGGAGCCUUCCCCCGAGCAAGGGAGAACAAAGUUUCUUGAAUCUUCGUAUCAAAGAAAGGACGAGAGAAACAAAAAAACUAACUUGUUCCUUGCUGAGAGGGCACCGUAUGACCUCCCAAAGAUCCAGCAAGGAGGGGCUGGAAGACAAGGGGCGCAGUGCCAAUAGCUCUUGAAAAUGAGAGACGAAUGUAUGUAGCACCAAGCUUGGAUCCGAUAUUAAAACACUAGAAGAAUCCGUAACAAAAAGAAUCAUGUUCCUCAGCUGUCUCCUAAUAACGGAAUGGUGAAAGAAUUUGGUAUUCUAGUCACAUUCCUUGAGCCACCUAAUCUUGGACUUCUGCCUGAAGAAGGACUCCUCCUAAUUCCUCAACUCCAAAAAAGUCCUCUAAUGAGUUUUCUCCAAAUCUGCAAGAAGCUCACUAGUCGAAUCUUGCUGAAGGCCAACUUGGGCGAAUCUAAGAGCAUCCCUUGUAGCAGUAACCCUCUUAGAGAUAUUAGAGAAAGAUUCUCAGUUGAGUUGCUUCAAACGGCUUUUAAAGGUCUUCACCUGCCUGUACAUAGGAACCCCUUCACCCAGACUUUCCCAAACUUAUGAGACAGUGUUGAGGAAUGACGUGCUUAGUCCAGAAAUCGAAGAACUUAAAAGAUUUCCUUGGGAACACCGGCUGCAUCACUCUAACCACCAUAGGAGUGUGAUCAGAAAUGCUAGGUGCAAGAACAGACGCUUCCAAAUAAGAGAACUCAUGACUCCAUUUAGCAUUCACAAGUACUCGAUCAAUCUUCCUAGCCUUGCGAUUAACCCCCGAGGAAGUAGAUUAAGUAAAAUGAAAGCCAACAUACCUCAGGUCCUCUAACUCCUAUUGAAUCAAACAAUGAUUGAAAUCAUCAAAGCAAGGAAUCCAUGUGUCAGAGCUACCAAUUCGAUCAGAGAGAUCUCCGGACAGCAUUGAAAUCACCCACCACUAGCCAAGCCACAUCCCAACAUAAAACAUUUCUCUGAAUAAGAUCGGCCUAUAACAGCCUUCUAAUUACAAAGGUAUGUUUAGCAUAUACCACCAAGACACAUAAGCAAAUAGUAAACAUGAUAAACUUCAAAUUACCAUGAAUUGCUUAGGUAUUGAAAGAAAUCACUUCAAAAUUCACUAAAGAAUGGUUCCAGCCAACCCAAAUCCUACUCAUAUGAGAUAAAUCAUAAUUGACCACUCAAUUCCAACCCGACAACAGUCUGGUAGAGAUGGAGUCAAAUCGAUAAUCCGGAACUUUAGUUUCCAACAAACCGAUUAGACAAAACCCAUUAGAAGACACGAGGUUCCUAACUUCUGCUUACCUUAGAGGGUCAAGAGGACCUCUCACAUUCCAAAUACCAAUAUACAUACAUACUUAUAUAUAUAUAAACAGCAAAGGGAGGAAUGGAGGACCUACCUCCGCCUAUUCGGCUUUCACCAUAAGGCUGCCGAAGUAGCUGAAGUCACGACAGGAGAAGGGGCUAGAUCAAGGGCCAUAAGCUUCUCUUAGAUGGUCUCGACCUUCCUUGAAAUAGUAGGAGCCUUCAAGGAUGAGGCAGGUGAGAGCAAGUCAUCAUCAGAGCUAAAAAAGCUAUCUGAGAGCACUGAGUCCCCAUCGGCACCAAGAAGACCGAAAUUGGAGGCUUCAGUCUAGUCCUUGUCCUUCGCAAAAGGGGAGUUAGGAACCUCCAACAACGAGCUAGGUCGCUUCUCCAACGGGAUAGGAGGAGGGGACAUUGGCCUUGACGUACUCACACUCCUCAAAGACUUCCGAACUGUGGAUAGGGGAAGACCUUUGUCAGUAGAGGAGACCUUGAGCUUCAUCAAGCUGCACAUUUCGCUAGAGGAAGGCAACUAGGGUGAGGGACUAUCCUUCGAUUGCAAGGACUUCUUUUUUUUCCCCUUCACUUGAUUCCAACCAUGUUGCGAAGCCUCCGGGUUCUCCACCACAACCGGAGUCAGUUCGGGAGCCUAAACAAGGGCAGGAGGGUCGGAGGUGAGUUGAACCGGCGCUCUACUCUGUCCGUAUUGUCAACGACAACAGCAUUCUCGCAUCUAUGCUCGAAAGUGCCACAUGAAGGACAUUCAGCUAGCUUCCAUUCAAAUUCAAUUACGAUUUAGCGCGAGACCCUAUUCAAGACCACAUCAAUGGUGAAGCAUCUAGGUUGAUUGGCAUAGAUUUCAACAUAAACCCUUGCAAAGGAUAGCACCUUUGUAUGCUCCGUGCAUUGGUCAACAUAGAAGGGCUUUCCAACUGCACUUGCAAUGCCACCAAUAGCUGGAGCUGACCAAAGAUCAAGGGGAAGGUUGUUCAACCUAAUCCAAACCAGAACGGUAGUUUGCUUGUCCUUCUUUAAAUCCAUAAGUGACUGCUAUUACUACAAAAUGAGAGAAACCCUCACCACCAUGAGGAGUCCAUCUUCGAGGAUCUUACGCCGGAACACCAUGUCCGGGAUAUGGAAGAAGAAGAAACCUUGAUUAUCCGCCAUCACUUCUACAAGCUUCAAGCCCUAAGUCUGCAUCAAAGCUUGUUCCGUGAGUUUGAAUAGAAGCUUAUUCUCAACAUAAUAACCAAUAAGGCACUCAUGCCACUUGGGAUCGAAUGCCUCCAAAACUUCCUCCAUAAGGUGAACAAUUGGCUUGCCAUCCACAAAAGUAGGAGGGGAGUAGAUAAGGUCGUAGCCCUUUGUAGCUAGCUUCGCCACAUUGGCCCAAGUGUGGGUGGGAGAAGGCUUCGGGUUUUCUUAUUGCCGAAGAGGGCCACUCGGUCGCUUGGAGGAGGACCGAACACGACUCCGGCCCCUAGAAAGACCUGAACGGGAAGGAGCCCUAGGGCCACCUUCUGUUUGCCAAACUAAACUGCAGGGCCAACCGUAGAAGGGCUGGACUAACCUAGAGCAAAGGGGUUAUGCCUCAAAGAGGCAUCCGCAACAAGUUAGGCCUCGCGGGAAGUACCAGACAAACCACUCAUGGUAGUGGCCAUAAGACAAACACCUGGUAUGCAACCCAAACUCUACCACAGAAAAAGCCAUCAAUAGAAGAGAGGCAUACCAAGGAGGGCUUCAGCGGCACCAAGGGGAGGAAGACGCGGGACGCUCCUGCUCUGAGAAGGCCCAGCAGACACGAAUGAGGCAACACCAGCAAGGACGAAAUGAGUACCAAUAGAACGAACUUGCAACUAGAGCCCGAAGGAAGAAGGUCCAAAAUGGGGGAAGAGCUUCAACUGGGGUAAGAAUGGGACCAAGGACACCAAACCUAUGAAGCUUGGCCCCCCUUGAAAUUCCAACACCCACAGGCGAACAACAGCAUACGAGUAGGAGCAAAUCGCGAACUCUUGAGUAGCUGAGAUUUGAACUUGUGGGCUGAGAUAGGAGGAGCGGCUUAGAGGAGCAGGGGAGGUAAGGUAGGUGACCCUUCCCUCCAAAGCUCGGGCGCAACGACCCGCUAAGCCCCCCACACCGAGCAUAAAUCAGACCAUAAGAGCAUAAUGCGCGCGGCUCCUAGGGAUAGCGAGAUCUCGAGCUGUAGACCAACCCAGACAAAUCCGUUCAGUGGAAAAAGGAAGAGGGAGGUCCAAGGAGCCUACCCUCCAAAUUUAAGCUAAAACGGAUGGCUAGAACUCCAAGAAUGAGCAGCAACCAGUCGAAUGAACAGUAACUCGGGAACCUAGUAGAGAGAAUGCCUGUGAACAGUACCCGCGAUUCGGAAAUAAUAUUUUUAUAUUUCUAGUUCUUGAAACAAUUUAUGAAUAAAAGAAUAUGUUUGGUAACUAUACAAAAUUUCUAAUCUCGGAAUAGAAAAAUAAUUGGAAUGUGUUUGGUACGACCUACAAUUUUUCUUUUUUAUAAUGUAGAAUUUCUUUUAAUUUUUUUAGAUUUUUCUUUUUUCCUUCUCUUCUUCUUCUUGCUCCUCCUUUAGCGAGUAGUGGUAAUGGCGAUCUGCAAUUGGCAGCGACAGGGGGCAGAGAGGGGUGGCUAACGGGGGAGGGGGGGGGAGAAAAAAAGCAUAAAAGGAAAAAAAAAGAAAAAAAGACUUAUUUCUAGAAAUUGUUCUUGGAGUGAGAAGUUACUUUCUUUAAAUUGUUGUUUCUAUUCCAAAUCUAUUCAUUGGCUACUUUUCUAUUUCAGAGAAUAGAAAAAUUAGUUGACAUUAUCAAAUAAAUUUAUAUUUUUUCUAUUUUAGGAAACAAAAGAACAAAAAAAAAAUCAAGGAUUAAAAAUGUUACUAUGUAGGCCCUCAGUUGACUAUUAACUGUUUUAGUUCAUAUCAAAAUCAAAUGUAAUCUCCAGCUUGCACUAAAAUCAAAACACAAUCAAAAUAUUUACAUUAUAAGCAAUCUAAGAUUGAUUCCAUCGUUGUUUCCAACUUGCACCAAAAUUGGAGCACAAUCAGAAUAUUUGAAUGAUUAGCAAUUCAAGAUUGAUUCCAUAUCUCUACUAGUGGUUACUGCUCCUGCAGUCAAUAUUUAUUACUUAAGAUUCUUUCUAAAGUGUAUGUAUAUAGAAGCCAUCACUAAUUGGAAAAUUCACAAUUUUGAAAUCAAAAUAUACAAUUCUUAUAUGUUAUCUCUACUUUUUGCAAUUAUUCAUCGUUGUCGCAUUCCUUCUCUUUUCUCGCGUUCUCUUUUCUCACUGAUGGUAGCCCCCUUUUAUUUCUUAUAUUGGCAUCAAAGCAGAAAAGGAGAAAGCCGAUCGAUCCAAAUAUGAAUGAAUGUAAUUCCUACUAUUCUAAACAAACUACCAAUCAACAACGUCAACCUCCCACUACAAACAACAUCACACCCAUAACACUUGCAGUUGGUAUUUCCGGUAUUAUCUCUUCUCCAUCCUUCAGUGAACACCUAAAUGAAACAAAUUAUGUGACUUGGCACACACAAAUCCUACCAUAUUUUCAAGACUUUGAAUUAAUUUCUAUAGUAUAUGGCACCAAACUAGCAUUACCCAUUCACAUUUCUCAAUCAAAUCCACGAAAUAUUGGUCAAACCAUACUCACUCCCAACCCCACCUACAAAGGCUAGUUCAUUGGAGAUUAGACAGCCUUGGUUGGAUCCUAAGUACUACAACAACUUCCAUAGUAGCACAAUCAAUCGACCACUAAAAUUUUGUAUUAGUUUUGUCUUGUAUGGAUGACGCAUACACUUCUCAAUCUAGUGCCCGCUCCCUUCCCUUCAAAUACAACUCCAAUCCAUGAUAAAAAGUAAUCAAAGUGUGAUCGAACAUUUACAAGAGGCUACCCAAAUUGCCGAUCAAUUGCUAGCUAUUGGGGAAACUAUUUCUAUUGAAGAAUACCAAACCCACCUCUUUUGUAGUUUUGGUUUAGAAUUCUCCACUGUGGUCACUGUCCUCUUAGCCAUUUUGCCUCAUACCAAGUCCUCCACUCUCUCUAGAAAUGAGCUACACAAUUUAUUAUUGUUUCAUGAGGGCCGUUUAAAGCUUUUGGCCUUAGAUGUUGGUCAGAUAUCGCUAUUUGUAUUUGUUGUCUAUGGUAAAACACCAACUUUUGCACUUUUGAGGCAAAAUCAACAAUUUUCGGGCUCAUAAUCAUGCCAAUUAGCAUCCACCCAUGGCUCGCCAUCUACUAGUCUUUUAUUUAUCCUGUCAUCAUAGGUUACAUAUUAGUCAUCGAGAAGCUUCUUUUUGUCAUAUUUGCCAUUGUUGAGGUUACUAUGUUACAACCUGUCGAGAAUGAUAUAAUUCUCAAUUUGUGGCCACACCUCCUCCUCAAGCUCAUUAUGGUGCACAUGCUUCACAAAACCAUUAUCAUACUCCUAUUGACCCACAUAAAUAUUUUGUCCUUUCUCCAUCUCCUCAGACAUAUUAUAGCUCCUUACCACCACGUAUAGUUCAAUACCCCUUAGUUCCUCCGCCUUAACCUCCUUCUACCCAUCCUACUCUAGUUUGUUCCUAACUUCGAUACUACCCAUCAUAUCAUUAAUGGUACCGUUGGUCGUACUAAUGUAACUCCUUUUACAAACUCACAAUAAUUCAUUAUACGUGAUGGCAUCUCACUUCCUAUCACUCAUACCAGUACUUUUGUGUCUUCCACGUCUCUUUCCUUUUCCUUAUCUUUAAGAAUGUGUUAGUUAUUCCUAAUAUCUCCAAGAAUCUAUUAUUUGUUUCUCAAUUUUCCUUUGAUGAUAACUGUGUUUUCUUAUUUCACUCUACAUGUUUUCUCAUGGUGUGCUUAUGUACUAGUCAAAUCCUUCUUAGAGACAGCCUUAAUUCCGACCUCUACUAUGCCUUGCUCUUUAGCUCAGCAACUUCCCUAUCUACUUUUGUGUCUUUUCACGCCAAUUUAGUCACUACUUGGCAUUACCGUUUGGAACAUGCCUCCUUAGAUAUUGUAGUUUGUUUUUUGAAUUUCACAAAAACCAAUUUUUCUCAUUCUCCCUCUUCCAUAUGUAUGACAUCCACUUUUAGUAAAAGCUGUCACUCUUCUCACCCUACUACCCAAUCUAGGCCUACUUCCCCUAUUCAACUGUUUCAUUUAGAUGUUUGGGGUCCAUUGCUUGUGACCUCUCUUUCUGGUUAAUAAUAUUACAUCUGUUUUAUUGAUGAUUCUUUUCAAUUCUCUUGCCUCUAUGCUUUCACAUUUCAAGAUCGCUCAUCAUGCUCUUGUGGAGACUCAAAGUCGGUGUAAAUUUAAGAUGAUUUAGUGUAAUAGAGCACCUUAGUUCUUAUCCUCUGCCAUGCGCUCUCACCUUCUUGGUCAUGAUAUUCAUUAGCACAUUUCUUGUCCUUACUCUCCUCUCCAAUAUAGGAUUGUUGAAUGCAAACAUCGACAUAUAGUGAACAUUGGCCUUGUUCUCAUGACCUAGACUACUUUUCCUUCUCAUCUUUGAGAAUUUGCCUUCGCGAUUGCAAUUCACCCAAUCAAUUGGCUUUCAACUCCUAUUCUAGACAAUUUGUCUCCCUAGCAGGUUGGUUUCUGUAUCACUUUUGAUAUAUCUCACAUAUGAGUGUUUGAAUGCAUAAUAUUUCCAUACUUACAAUCAUAUGCCCCACACAAGCUGACUGUUGAGUAUGUCUUGAAUAUUUAUUUUUAUUUUUAUUUUUAUGGGCUAGAGCCAACAUUAGGGUUUAGAGGCAAUAUAAAUAUAUCUUUUCUCAAAUUAUUAGAUGAAGAAGUCAAGAUAGAAAAAGUCUUAGUUUUUGAUAGCCGCCUUUUGUAAUCCUUGAAAUUCUAUAGUGGAUUUUGUUUCUCCUCCUCUCGUGGUUUUUCCCACAAGGAUUUUCAUGUAAAUUAGGUGUUCUUUUAUUAUUCUCAGUUUCAAUUCUGUUUUAGUUUAUGCAUCUGUCAUAACAAACCGGUAUCAGAGCCUUAGGGGUUUUCUCUAUUUUAUAGUUAUGACUUCAAGUUCAACAACAAUAUUUGAUAUUGAGAAGUUCGAUGGGAGCGGCAAUUUCAACCUAUGGCAAAUUUAUAUGUUGGCUACUCUUACGUAACAGGGUUUGAAGAAAAACUUUGUUUGGAAAAAAGGGAAGAAACCAGAAAGAACAUUAGAUGAAACAUAGGAAGAAUUGGAUAAAAGAGCCAUGUUUGCUAUUCAAUUAUGCCUCACGAAUGAAGUUCUGUAAGAGGUAUGAGAUCAGAAAACAACUACAAGUUUAUGGAAUAAAUUGGAGAGUAUUUGUUUGACAAAAUCACUCACAAUCGGUUAAGGCUCAAGUAACGACUCUUCGGUAUUCAUAUAGCUAAAGGUGUUUAUCUUAAAACUCAUAUUUCUAAAUUCAAUGCUAUUAUCUUUGGAUUAAGAAGUAUUGAUGUUAAUGUUGAAGAUAAGGAUUAGGCUCUCUUAUUGUUAGUUUCACUACCUUCCUCUUAUAAGAAUUUUAGAGAAACCAUGAUUGUUACUAGAGAAACUAUUGAUGUUGAAGAUGUUAAGACUAGUCUUCUAAAUAAGCAGAAACUAGAUACACAAUUAACUUUUGAAGGUAGAAAUGAUCAUAGGGCUAAUUUCAUUGCUAGAGGAAGGUCCGUUGAAAAAAGUAAUGGCAGUAGGUCCCCAUCAAAAUCAAAGCAUACGGAUUUGAUUUUCAAUUAUUGUAAGUUUAAGGGGCAUAUCAAGAUAAAUUCUCUGAAAUAUAAGGCAAAACAAUAAAGAGAAAAUAACAUGAAUCAGCUAAACUAAGGGAACGCAAAUCGGUGGAACAAUCAGAAUUACAAAUUAGGCGGAAUUAGAGAAAUGAAAAUCUCGCUCAAGCUGGUGUUUUUUUUUUCUUUUUUCUUUUUUUUUUUGGUAAGAACGCUCAAGCUGGCGUUACUGACUAAGAAAACAAAGAUUGGUUAUUGGUUGCAGAUGAUAAAGAUAAAUUCAAGGAUAGGUGGAUUCUUAAUUCAGGUUGUUCGUCCCACAUGUACCCUAAUUGUGACUAGUUCCCCACGUAUAAAGAAUUUAACGGUGGAGUUAUUCUAAUAGAAAACAAUGCUAAAUGCAAAGCAGUUGGGAUUGGGACUGUCAACAUUAAGAUGUACAAUAGCAUUGUCGGGGCUUUGGAUGAUGUCAGGCACUUUCUUGAUUUGAAGAAGAACCUCGUCUCUUUAAGUACACUUGAUGCUAAUGGUUGUAAGUUUACAACUGAAAGUAGAGUUAUGAAGAUUAUGAGAGGUUCACUUCUAUUGAUGAAAGGACUAAAAAUCGACACCUUGUAUUGGCUACAAGGCACUAUAGCUAUUGAUUUAGUUGCAGUCUCAUUUGCUAUGACGGAAUCAGACAACACUAAAUGAUGGCACAUGAAAUUAAGCCAUAUGAAUAUUAGAAGGAUGGAGGAGCUAAGUAAGAAAGGUCUUCUGUGUGGUCAGAAAAUUGGAAAACUAGAUUCUUUGAGCAUUGUGUCUUUGGAAAACAUAAAAGGAUCAGUUUCAAAAUAGGAAUCCACAUAACGAAGGGCACUUUAGAUUAUCUUCACUCUUUGGGGCCCACGAAAGGUCCUUUGAAAGGCCUUGGUUUGAGAUAUUUACUGAUUUAAUUAAUAAUUUUUCAAGAAAUGUUUGGGUUUAUUUUCUAAAACAGAAAAGUGAUGUUUUUGUUAUAUCUAAACAAUGGAAAACAUUAAUUAAGAAGCAAACUAGUAAAAAGAUUAAGCGAUUGAGAGUAGAUAAUGGGCUGAAAUUUUAUGGAUGUGAGUUUAAUGAGUUUUGCAAAAUUGAAGGCACUACGAGGCAUCAUACUAUAAUGAACACACCACAGCAUACGGUAUUGCAAAACACAUGAAUAGAACCUUAUUAUAAAGGACUAGGUGCCUAUUGUCUAACACUAGUUUAGGCAUGGAGUUUUGGGCUAAAGCAGUCAAUAUAGCUACCUGGUUGAUAAAUCGUUCUUCUUGUGCAUCUAUUGAGUGCAUGAUACUUGAGGAAGUAUGAUUAGGUAAACUUGUUGAUUAUUCUUCUCUUUGAGUAUUUGGAUGUCCAACAUAUGCACAUGUUAGUGAACGCAAAUUAGAGCAUUGAGUAAGAAAAUUUUAUUUUUCUUGAUUAUGCUUCUGGUGUAAAAGGUUAUAGACUUUGAUAUGCUAAUUCAUCUAAGAUUAUUAUAGUUGAAAUGUUACUUUUCAUUAAUCUGCUAUGCUUCAUCCUAAGAAAGAAUCAUCUAUUUCUUGUGAUGAAAAUUUGGACAAUGUUGCAAAGAAAGUAGAGCUUGAAGUAAUUUCUUCGCAACCAAUUCAAGCAUCUACUGAUAAUAUUGAAUCAGAAAAACUUGAAGAAGAACAUCAUUCUAUUGCUAGAGAUAGACCAAGAAGGACGGUGAAGCCUCCACAAAAAUAUGGGUUCUCAAAUUUUGUUACUUAUGCUCUUUCUAUUGCAGAGUUAAUAGAGUAUAGUAAGUCUAAAAGCUACAAAGAAGCCAUAUUUUCAAAAGAUUUAGCAAAGUGGUUAGUUACUGUGAACGAAGAGAUGAAAUCUCUUGAAAUGGGAGCUCACCAAGCCACCAAAAGAAAAGAAAAUUGUGGGUUGUAAAUGCAUUUUCAAAAGAAAUGAAGGUAAUCCUAGAGUUGAAGACAUCAGACUCAAAGCCCGUCUAGUUGCUAAAGGUUAUAGUCAGAUUGAGGGAGUUGAUUUUAAUUAUGUGUUCUCAAUUAUCAUUAAACACAGCUCUAUUCGGGUCUUGCAUUAGUUGCUAUGCAUAAUUUAGAGUUGGAAAAACUUGGUGUUAAAAUAGCUUUCUUGCAUGGUGAACUUGAAGAGAAAAUUUAUAUGGGUCAACCAAAGAGUUUUCAAUUUGAAGAUAAGGAAAAUCAUAUUUAUCUAUCGAAAAAGUUUAUAUAUGACUUGAAGCAAUCGUUUAGACAGUGAUAUAAAAGGUUUGAUUCAUUUAUGGUGCAAAUUGGCUAUUGUAGGAAUAAAUAUGAUAUAUGUGUAUAUUUGCACAAACUUCCGAGUGGCUCUUUUACUUAUCUGUUAUUAUAUGUUGAUUGCGAUAAAAGAUAAAUCUGAUAUAUAGAAUUUGAAGGCAUGAUUGACUGCUAAAUUUGAGAUGAAGGAUUUAGGUGCAAUAAAAUAAAAUAAAAAUCCUAGGCAUGGAAAUUCGAAGAAAUCAAAAAAUGGGAAAAUUAUAUCUCUCCCAAAAAAGUUACAUUGAGAAUGUGUUAGAUCGUUUUGGCAUGAAAGAUGCCAAACUAGUAAAUACUCAUUUUGCUGCUCAUUUUAGAUUAUCAGCUAAUGAGGACAUAAAAUAUAGGUCACAAGUUCCAUACUUUAGUGCAAUUGGUAGCCUUAUGUAUGCCUUGAUUUGUACUCGAUCCGACAUUUCACAUGCUAUUAGCGUAGUAAGCAGAUAUUUAUUAUGCCCAGGCAAAGUUCACUAGCAAGCUAUGAAGUGGAUUUUGAAUAAUUUGAAGGGUAUUUUUUAUUUUGGUUUAGAGUUUGGGAAAACACAUUUUGACAAGAUCUUUUGAUUAUGAUUAUGCCGGUGACCUUGAUAAGGGGAGAUCUUUGACUGGGUAUAUCUUUACUAUUGGAGGUUGUGCAAUCAGUUGGAAAGCUACUUUGUAACAUGUUGUUACUUUGUCUACUACAGAAGCAGAGUAUAUGGCUAUUGCGGAGGUAGCUAAAGAGACCUUAUGAUUAAAAGGUUUGUUAAAGAGCUCAAUGUGGAUCGUGGUGUGAUUGUUGUUCAUUGUGAUAGUUAGAGUGCUAUACAUAUUACUAAAGAUUAGAUGUUUCAUGAGAGAAUAAAGCACAUUGAUGUACGGUAUUAUUUUAUUCAAGACAUUUUUGACAAUGGCUAUUUAAGGUAUUGGAGAUUGGUACAGAAAACAAUCAAGUUGAUAUGUUGAUGAAGCCUUUGCCUAUUGCCAAAUUCAAGCAUUACUUGGAUUUGAUUGAUGUUUGCUGCAAUUGAGUUUUACUCUAAUGGGAAGAAAAGAUUAUUUAUUACUUACAUGGAAUUCAAGCAACGGUGGAGAUUUGUUGAGUAUGUCUUGAAUUUUUUUAUUUUUUUUUUUUGGGCUUGAGCCAACGUUAAGGUUUGGGGGCAAUAUAAAUAUUGCUUUUCUCAAAUUAUUAGGUGAAGUUGAGACAAAAAAAAAAAAAAAUCUUAGUUUUUGAUAGCUGCUUUUUGUAAUCUUUAAAUUUUUAUAAUGGAUUUUGCUUCUCCUCCCCAUGUGGUUUUUUUGCAAGGGUUUUCAUGUGAAUCCAAUGUUCUUUUAUUCUUUUUAGUUUCAUUUUCGUUUUAGUUUCUGCAACUACCAUAAUACUAACUCCUCGCUCUCAAGCCUACAUCUUUCUUGGUUAACCCUCCAAGCUACUGAUGCUAUUGUCCUUAGACCCAAUUGUACCUACAUCACUGUUGAUGCUAUCUUUAAUAAGACCAUGUUUCCAUUUCAACAAACUGCACUUGUGUCUCCACCAUCACCACCUGCUUCACACCAAUCUACUUACCAUUGCCGUCACUGCUAAUUGUUCCAAGCUCUCAUGGUCACUAGACUCCACUUCACUAGCUCUACCAUUCCUGCCUUCAUCCUCACCAUCUCCAACUGAAGUUCCUAAGUCAUAGUCUCCACCAUCAUCAGCAACAUCUUCACAAGCAUCUACUCACUAUAUGGUUAUUCAUCUGUGCUAGAACCAUCUCUCACACAAUCCCUAAUAGAAAUCAGACUUUUGCUCUUGCGGCCUCUGGUCAUCCUUAUAGUGAGCUUGGUUGUUUUUCUCAAGUACAAUGAGAUUUAAAACGGCAAGCUACUAUGACCACUAAGUACAUUGCACUUAUCCAAAAUAAUACUUGGGAAUUGGUUCGGCUACCUUCUUAUGCUCACCUUAUUUGCUGCAUAUAGGAGCAGAGCCUUCAUGGUCAAACUUCGCUCCGAUGGUACACUAAAACGCUAUAAAGCCAACUUGUUGCUAAGGGAUUUCAUCAAUAAGCUAGCAUUCAUUGUAGCAAGAUUAAGCCCAAUGGCCAAAUCAAUCACCAUCGGCAGUGCUUUCGCACUUGGUUACUCCCAAGAAUAAUCUAUCAAUGUCUCUAAUGCCUUUCUCCAUGGAUACUUAUCCGAAGAGGUGUAUAUGGUACAAUUAUUUGUUGACACCAAACGACCUUAGCACAUUUGCCAUCUCCUUCCUUGUGCUUGGCAUCAGCAGCUUAGCUCCUAACUCACUAACAUUGAUUUUUUUAUCUCAACUGCUAACUCAUCCUUAUCCAUUCAUCAUUUUACAUCCCACACCAUCUUCUUAUUAGUUUAUGUGGACGACAUCAUCCUUACCAGCUCUCCCAAUGCUCCACCACUAGCUCUUCUACAUGCUUUAGAUGAGAAUUUGCCAUCAAGGAUCUUGAACCUAUUCUCUAUUUUCUAGGCAUUGAGGUACAAUCUACCUCCAACGAGCUUCAUCUACGUCAAGCCAAGUUCACUUAUGAGAUUUUGGAUUGUGCAAAGAUGCCUACUGCUCAUGCUGUGUCCACCCCACGCACCACCUUUGAGUUGUUGUCCAUUCAUCAAGGGGAGCCAUUACCUAAUCCUUAGCUCUACCGCAACACUGUCAGUGCCCUUCAAUAUUGAAGUCUAACCCAGCUGACAUUGCAUACUUAGUGAAACACAAUGAGUGUCGAGCUCAAAAAUUGAAAUUGAAUACAACCCAUAUUAAUUAUGUUAUACAAUUACAUUUUCCAUUCAAUUGGAAUUAGAAUUUUAAAACAUGGCUAGUGUUGGGCUCAAAAAUCGAAAGGGUGGAUAGCCUUGUGUCUUUUAAAAAAUAGAUUAGCCCGCAAUUCUUGUCCCGCAGUCAAUGUGGCAAAAAGUUCUCGGGGGUGUUCUCAUUCACAAGUCAUCAGUCUGAAUUCUAUAAGAGAUACAAGUUUGAAAACUGCAACAACUGCUUUAAAUUUUGCUUUAUCUUCGCUUUGUCCCCCGUUGCUCAUCUUCACUUCACUCAAUCUCUACUAGAUUAGCUCACCGCCAUGGCGCCGUAAGAGUUUGCCUCCCUAGUUUGAAUAAUAAUUCCAACUAGGUUAAAAAAAAGCCCAACCCAAAAACCCUAUCAAAUCUUUUUUAUCCACAAAUAACUUCGAUUGAAAACCUUUGCCGAUAAAAUUCAAACUUCGAGAAACAAAUGAAGUUUAAAAUAGUUUUCCUGAUGCACAGACAUGAUAAAUUACAACACUUCCUUUUGGUAUUGCCUGGGGAUAUGCAAUCCUUGGUUUAGAAAAUUAUAUAGAGUCAAAUCUGUGUUAUGGUUAGCACGUUUUUCAUAAAAAGGAAAGCAAGUAGCAUUAGAGUCAUUAGCGAUUCUUCGCCAGGUAAUGACUAUUGAAACGAAAGCAACCCAUUUAAUAUGGUCAAUAAUUUAGUUGAACUACCUUUUCAACAUAUCUUUCGUGUCAGCAAUUUUUAUGCUAGUUAAACGCGAAUUAAUAAGUUUUCCGAGGAUCAAGUAAAGAUCGGCUACUGUAUCGCAUUAAGCUUUCGUUUCCCCCCACGUGAUCUGGGAAAUUGGCCAUGGGACGAGAGCCAAGUGAGAUAAAAAGCAGCGAAUCUGUUCUCGAAAGAAAAGGGAUUCUCGCUGUACAAGAAAGGGCAAACUCAGAACCUGCCGCCAUCAAAAUCGCCAGCUCAUGCUUCCAUCAACACGCUAUCAUCAUGUCCCACAAUUUAAAGAUCUUGCCUUUUUCAACGCUUUACACUUCCAAAAAAUAUAUAAUAUUCGCCCCGCAAACUUUGGUAAUCGGGAAAAAGGUAUUUUAACUUAAAAAAGAAUUAAAAGGAUAGAUCGUGCCUAAAGACACUUAUUAAGUUACCACGAUUAAAAUGUGGUUAAUUUCAAUGCUUUUAUUUUCUUACCGACAUAUGAUAAAUACUUAUAAGGUUAACCAUUCUUAAUACGUAUUUACUUAAAAAAGACACAAAGAUCGCACUAAACACACGGUAAACGAAGCAUAUCCAUGAGCAACAGUUUGGGAAGAUGUUGCUCCUUCAUCGUAAUCCAAAACAAACCAUAUCAAGAAGAAGAAGAUAGGAGAAGCCUAGUUUAAGUCGGAAUCUCUAAAAAUCUCUAAAAUAGGUGCAAAUUGAAAGAGAAAAUAAUAUCGGAUCCCAAUCCAAUAGGAGAAGACUAGUGAAGUCGGAAUCUCUAAAAUAGGUGCAAAUUGAAAGAGAAAAAAAUAUCGGAUCCCGAUCCAAAUCGUUAAUUACUCGACUAGAGUACCGCAAAAGUCCCCAUCAGCAAAAUCACACUCGCCAACAGACCCACAUUGCCCCGACCCGCCCUCACUCCGCUCUUGCUCGGUGCCGGAGCAGGGGACGAACUCGACGAGUCCAGCUGAAGCUUCCCCGUCGACUCCUUGUUGGCCGCAACAAGCGGGUGGAUGCUUGGUUGGUUCCCGCUGACGGCGCCACCGACCUGCCAGACCUGGUUCACGCUUGACGCCUUCUCCGGCACCUGAACCGUCGCAAAGAUCCGCAUCGUCCCAUUCACCUCGUCGGCGCUCAGGUCCCACACGUUGAAGGAGAGCCUCGACUCGACGACCGAGUGAUAGCCGGAGAUAUUGUAGGUCUUGGGGACGACGGAGCCGUUGAGCCUGAGCGCCAUCAGGGCCUGCGAUCCGACCAUGCCGGUUUUGGUGGGGUUGAUGGCCCAGGCGACCCAGGCGCCGCCGGUGGCCGGGGCGGCGACGUAGGCUAUGGAGAGGGAGGAGUUGGAGGCGUUGUAGGUGUAGUGGAGGAAGGCGCCGAGCUGGGGGAGGUCGGUGCAGUUGUUGUAGGUGUUGUUGAACUUCUGGGACGUGCAGGUGAGGGAGAGGGCCGGAGGGAGGAGGAGAGAGAGGAGAGAGAGGAGCGAGAGGGAGAGGAGAAGAGAGAGAGAGGCCAUUGUUGUUGCAGGGGGAGAGGGAGAGGUACUCUGUGCCUGUGUGGUUGUGGAUACGGGAUGGUUAUAAAGAGAGCGUG
Molecule: long non-coding RNA, 17727 nt
Filed under: Eucalyptus grandis
Lineage: Eukaryota; Viridiplantae; Streptophyta; Magnoliopsida; Myrtales; Myrtaceae
Description: long non-coding RNA (EGRA_LNC006476)
Source: RNAcentral